Molecule: ribosomal RNA, 198 nt
Filed under: Glomus sp. (unid)
Lineage: Eukaryota; Fungi; Glomeromycota; Glomeromycetes; Glomerales; Glomeraceae
Source: RNAcentral
CAGUCGUACCGACGAGAAAUCAACCUUUCGAGUGCGAACUUGUGGGCGUGCGUGAGUCUUUAACGGGCCCCGCUGUUUGCAAUGUUUGUCCUUUUGGGGUGUACUUUUCCGUAUGGUAGGCCAACGUCAGUUUCGAUCACCGUAAAAUGACCGGAGGAAUGUAGCUUCGAUCUCGUAUUGAAGUGUUAUAGCCUUUGG